UUUUCCCUCUUUCAUCUUCCAUCGAGAAAUCCUCCAUCGAGCAUCAUCUUCCAUCGAGAAAUCCUCCAUCGAGCGUCAUCUUCCAUCCUGCAGUCUGAUUAGAGAUCACGAAACAUUGCAGAAAGUAGCAGUCUCCCUCUUUGCUACUGUGAUGCUGUGGUGCUGCCAUUGCUGAGAAAAGCAAUUCAAAAUGGAACAAAGGCAGCAAAGAUGCAUAAAAGAGGAAGGAAUCUGAUCAGGUAAUUAGAUUGUUUUGGGGGUAUCUUCAGUGUGCCUUUGUUAUUGACCCAGAAGAUUUUGGCAAUGGCUUCAAUGGACUGGUUUUGCAUCUUUCAACAGACAAUAUCCUCGCUUAUUGUCUAUUGUCUAUUCAAGCUUCUAAAUGAGGUGGGUGAGAUUAUGUUAUGCAUUACCAAAACAUCUGUUGGACGAUCCAUGCAUUUCCUUUUGUUACAAAAGAUUAGGUAGACAGUGGGGUGUGUACUAACAGGCUAACCCAAAACAUCUUCCUUCUUCCUUCUUCUUCAUUCAUUUUUUUUUGUUUUUUUGUUUUUUUGCUUUCUUUUUUGGUUUUGUGUUGUGUGCGUGAGCGUGCACACGUGCCAGGAUGUACAUCAGCCAAUAUGUGCACAAUGCAUACUGGUUUCGACUGAUACUUUACACCUUGCUGACACAUGAGAUUGAGGGGAUGGAAUCAUUAACUGAAGUGAAGUAAGCCAAAGAUCUUAAAUCAACAAUGUAGUGAAUGCAUCCACUAGAGUUGCAUAGUUAACAGAAGCUCUGUGUUAUCUA
This is a long non-coding RNA of Magnolia sinica, 792 nucleotides long. RefSeq lists it as uncharacterized. The record is from RefSeq and is a predicted model, not a curated record. The transcript is spliced from 3 exons. Lineage: Eukaryota; Viridiplantae; Streptophyta; Magnoliopsida; Magnoliales; Magnoliaceae.